This 1356-nucleotide ribosomal RNA is filed under the name Microbacterium aurantiacum. Its description in RNAcentral is "16S ribosomal RNA". It matches the Rfam family "Bacterial small subunit ribosomal RNA", at positions 15 to 1381 of the family's 1533-position model. Lineage: Bacteria; Bacillati; Actinomycetota; Actinomycetes; Micrococcales; Microbacteriaceae. The record is from RNAcentral.
GAUCCUGGCUCAGGAUGAACGCUGGCGGCGUGCUUAACACAUGCAAGUCGAACGGUGAAGCCAAGCUUGCUUGGUGGAUCAGUGGCGAACGGGUGAGUAACACGUGAGCAACCUGCCCUGAACUCUGGGAUAAGCGCUGGAAACGGCGUCUAAUACUGGAUAUGAGCUGCGGAGGCAUCUUCGUGGUUGGAAAGAUUUUUCGGUUUGGGAUGGGCUCGCGGCCUAUCAGCUUGUUGGUGAGGUAAUGGCUCACCAAGGCGUCGACGGGUAGCCGGCCUGAGAGGGUGACCGGCCACACUGGGACUGAGACACGGCCCAGACUCCUACGGGAGGCAGCAGUGGGGAAUAUUGCACAAUGGGCGGAAGCCUGAUGCAGCAACGCCGCGUGAGGGAUGACGGCCUUCGGGUUGUAAACCUCUUUUAGCAGGGAAGAAGCGGAAGUGACGGUACCGUGCAGAAAAAGCGCCGGCUAACUACGUGCCAGCAGCCGCGGUAAUACGUAGGGCGCAAGCGUUAUCCGGAAUUAUUGGGCGUAAAGAGCUCGUAGGCGGUUUGUCGCGUCUGCUGUGAAAUCUGGGGGCUCAACCCCCAGCCUGCAGUGGGUACGGGCAGACUAGAGUGCGGUAGGGGAGAUUGGAAUUCCUGGUGUAGCGGUGGAAUGCGCAGAUAUCAGGAGGAACACCGAUGGCGAAGGCAGAUCUCUGGGCCGUAACUGACGCUGAGGAGCGAAAGGGUGGGGAGCAAACAGGCUUAGAUACCCUGGUAGUCCACCCCGUAAACGUUGGGAACUAGUUGUGGGGUCCAUUCCACGGAUUCCGUGACGCAGCUAACGCAUUAAGUUCCCCGCCUGGGGAGUACGGCCGCAAGGCUAAAACUCAAAGGAAUUGACGGGGACCCGCACAAGCGGCGGAGCAUGCGGAUUAAUUCGAUGCAACGCGAAGAACCUUACCAAGGCUUGACAUACACGAGAACGCUGCAGAAAUGUAGAACUCUUUGGACACUCGUGAACAGGUGGUGCAUGGUUGUCGUCAGCUCGUGUCGUGAGAUGUUGGGUUAAGUCCCGCAACGAGCGCAACCCUCGUUCUAUGUUGCCAGCACGUAAUGGUGGGAACUCAUGGGAUACUGCCGGGGUCAACUCGGAGGAAGGUGGGGAUGACGUCAAAUCAUCAUGCCCCUUAUGUCUUGGGCUUCACGCAUGCUACAAUGGCCGGUACAAAGGGCUGCAAUACCGCGAGGUGGAGCGAAUCCCAAAAAGCCGGUCCCAGUUCGGAUUGAGGUCUGCAACUCGACCUCAUGAAGUCGGAGUCGCUAGUAAUCGCAGAUCAGCAACGCUGCGGUGAAUACGUUCCCGGGCCU